RNAcentral lists this long non-coding RNA (509 nucleotides) under Canis lupus familiaris (dog). RNAcentral's name for it is "lncRNA (ENSCAFG00000037766.3)". Lineage: Eukaryota; Metazoa; Chordata; Mammalia; Carnivora; Canidae. The record is from RNAcentral.
ACCCAUUCUAUGAGCUCAGAAAAAUGAUGUCAUCUCUUGUAUCCAUUUUAUUAUCUCCCAAUUUCUAUUCUCAUUCUUUCAUAUCCAGAGGUACAUGUCAUCUGAAGCCUUGGGCCCUCCGCAUCAUAAAUCAGGAACAAAUCCAGGAGGGAGAAAGAGCAAAGGAGACAAGGACCUCGUUAAGAACACUAAGUUUCUGUGGAGAAAAAAGUGUUGGCUUGAACUCCUCGUGCUUUCUUAUGUAAUAAAAAAGUCAAGCAAAGGGCAUGUCUUGGUUCGGCUGGGACUCGGCAGACUGCCUGCGUUAUUACAGUGCUGGGAGUCUGAGGCUCUCUGCUCCUUGAGGAUUAUCAUGUGACUCCUCCCCAAGUGAACAAAAAUGGAGUCCUUUUCUACAUUAUUUUUUGUAACUGGCUCUUUUUCCUUUUUACUGCCUCUUGGAACACUUGGAACACUUUGUAUGUGAGUACCUGUAGCUCUACCUCAUUCUUUUUGAUGGUUUGUUUCCA